Molecule: long non-coding RNA, 2174 nt
Filed under: Apteryx owenii (little spotted kiwi)
Lineage: Eukaryota; Metazoa; Chordata; Aves; Apterygiformes; Apterygidae
Description: lncRNA (ENSAOWG00000011368.1)
Source: RNAcentral
CGCAGCUAAAUUGGCUUCUGCUGGACUUCAGUGCACUACAGCUUUUCUUCUGAAAAGAAGAGAAGGGUUUUAAGUGAYUUGGGAGCACGAGGCAAGCUGCUGCUGAGAGCGCUGCACUUUCCAUGCUCUCGUGGAGUGUCCUCUCCGGUCUGUGGCAGUGAGUGGUGGUCGUCUAUUGUGGACUAUUUGUGGUGGUCUUGAUGCCCUACAGCCAAGAGUUUCCCAAGGAUUUUCACAUGGGUCCUUCUUUAGAUAUCAACACCUGUGGUCUGAUUUUCCGAAGCAUCAAAAGUCAACGUCUCUGCUUCAGUCAGUGGAAUCGGCCAGGAGCUCAGCGCUAUGCACUGUCACUGCGCAGUAAGCGUCUGAUUUUGAACGCCCCUGGAAGGAAGGUGUUGCUGCUACAAGGAGAGCUCCCACGCUGUUGUGUGCUGGUAUCUGGAGAAGUGCGUUUCAUGCUCCUCACAUGGAGGCUGUAGCUUGGUCGGCUCACACAGGGAGCCAGGAGAGACAACACAACGCUUUUCAGCACUUCAGCCACAUGGGAAUUUUGCCACCCCAAAGAUGAGACUCAAGGUAAUGGAUUUUGUCCUUGAUGGUGGCAACAGCAAAAUUCAGUGUGAACACUAGGGGCCAAGCAGACUCGGAGAUGGCAGCUGGGGAAAUGCUAGAGGUCACUGGGAUAUCAGAGAAUUGUGGUGCAUAUAUGGCUUCACUGUUAAUAAUAUUAUUUACAGUGGGAGAGACAAGAACAAUAUUAAACACCUGUCUGCAUGCAAAGAUGCUUUUGGUUCAUGACUGGCUGAAGCAGUCAGCCGGGGAAUCUUUAUUUGUCUAACGAGAAAUUAGCAGCCCAACCUUGGAGCAGGGGGUGCUCAGGCUGGGUUGCACGGAGGUGAACAGCAUCCUGUGAGAGCAGGACAAGCACAGGCAACAUGGGAUAAAGCAGGGACCUUCAGGAAAGUUUCUUUUUUUUCCCUCUACAAAAUUUUGCCAGGACACUCACAGCUUUAUCCGGGGAUCAUUUGACAGGUCACAUGCCUUCACAGCCUAUACAUAUGAAAUAGGUGGGUUUUCCCCCAAAUGUACAACUUCAAACUUCUGCUAGUGUAGAGAUGAACUCAACCUUUAGAGUCUUACUGAUGCAGUGUUGCUAUUACAGAAAUUUGCUGUUGGGUUUGAUGCAGGCUGCGGUCCCAGCUGGGUUUAGAGCUCCGCUGUGCCAGAUGCUGCAAAUGCACGGAAGAGAGAGGGACCUUCCAGGACUACAUGCUCCAGACCCACAGGGUUUUAUAUUUUAAUAGACAAAAGCAGCAAGUGGCGGAAGAAAAGGAAAAGUGUUGUCUCUGUUCAGCCAGUAAGAUCAGGUGACUUGCCCAAAGUUACCCAGCAGAAAUGGGAAUUCAACCUGAGUCUUCCCAGCGCCAGUCCCGCAUCUCGCCAACGUGCUUGGUCCCCUCUCCCAGGGAGGGAAAACACGCUGAUCCCUUCUGUAUCACCUUCAUACUGCAGGAGACAGUAAGGACAGGCAACCUCCACCUUUCCUUGCUGCUCUUGAAGAUCGCACCCUUCUCUUGGUUCAGCCACAUCACACCAGUUACCAAGCCCUGACUCCAGCCUUGGUCCUCGCAGCCCCAGCAAAGUGCUCGGCUGCACAGCCCAGGCAGCAGCAACAGCUUCUCUCUCUGCAGGUUUCGUUGGAACUAAAUUUCAAACCAUGCAACUUUUGCUCCAAAUCAAAGACACUUUGGAAAGAAAAUCAAUACUUUUCAGAGGGGAAAAAUAGGCAAAAAUUCUCAUUUAAUGAGUCUGUAUUUUUAUGUAUUUUGCAAACCCUGGAAGUAAGCAUCUUCCUGCUGACUACAAUCAACUUUGAGAGAUGAGGAGCAGAUUUUUCUGGAGUUCUCCAUUCCCCUAUGAAAUGUGUGUCUAGAAGGGGGAGGGGAGUAGAAAACAGCUGGCAGUUUAGAUGAAAAAUGUAUUGAAUAUGCUAAGCAUGUGAUUAUCAAAGGUUCAUAACUCAGUCGAAUCAAAACCAAUUUCUUUCAGAACAAUGAGACACACUUCUCAAUGAAGGCUCUUCCCAGGCCAAAUUUCAUCUUUCAGAAAUAACAUGCUGUAAGUACUUCUUGUAUAAUAAUAAAAAUAAAAAAAGGACUUAUUUUACUGCCUUC